AACGAACGCUGGCGGCAUGCCUAACACAUGCAAGUCGAACGAGACCUUCGGGUCUAGUGGCGCAAGGGUGCGUAACGCGUGGGAACCUGCCCUUAGGUUCGGAAUAACUCCCCGAAAGGGGUGCUAAUACCGGAUAAUGUCUUCGGACCAAAGAUUUAUCGCCUUUGGAUGGGCCCGCGUUGGAUUAGCUAGUUGGUAGGGUAAAAGCCUACCAAGGCGACGAUCCAUAGCUGGGCUGAGCGGAUGAUCAGCCACACUGGGACUGAGACACGGCCCAGACUCCUACGGGAGGCAGCAGUGGGGAAUAUUGGACAAUGGGCGAAAGCCUGAUCCAGCAAUGCCGCGUGAGUGAUGAAGGCCGUAGGGUUGUAAAGCUCUUUUACCCGGGAUGAUAAUGACAGUACCGGGAGAAUAAGCUCCGGCUAACUCCGUG
RNAcentral lists this ribosomal RNA (433 nucleotides) under uncultured bacterium. RNAcentral describes it as "partial 16S ribosomal RNA". It matches the Rfam family "Bacterial small subunit ribosomal RNA", at positions 29 to 507 of the family's 1533-position model. The record is from RNAcentral.